AUUGAACGCUGGCGGCAUGCCUUACACAUGCAAGUCGAACGGUAACGCGGGGCAACCUGGCGACGAGUGGCGAACGGGUGAGUAAUGCAUCGGAACGUACCCAGUAGUGGGGGAUAGCCCGGCGAAAGCCGGAUUAAUACCGCAUACGACCUACGGGUGAAAGGGGGGGAUCGCAAGACCUCUCGCUAUUGGAGCGGCCGAUGUCAGAUUAGGUAGUUGGUGGGGUAAAAGCCUACCAAGCCUGUGAUCUGUAGCUGGUCUGAGAGGACGACCAGCCACACUGGGACUGAGACACGGCCCAGACUCCUACGGGAGGCAGCAGUGGGGAAUUUUGGACAAUGGGCGCAAGCCUGAUCCAGCAAUGCCGCGUGCGGGAAGAAGGCCUCGGUUGUAACCGAC
Molecule: ribosomal RNA, 399 nt
Filed under: uncultured bacterium
Lineage: Bacteria
Description: bacterial SSU rRNA
Rfam family: Bacterial small subunit ribosomal RNA
Source: RNAcentral